This is a long non-coding RNA of Cheilinus undulatus (humphead wrasse), 189 nucleotides long. RefSeq lists it as uncharacterized. The record is from RefSeq and is a predicted model, not a curated record. The transcript is spliced from 3 exons. Lineage: Eukaryota; Metazoa; Chordata; Actinopteri; Labriformes; Labridae.
CUGAUGUCAUCCUUCCUCCUCCUUCUACCCUCCAAUUACCUUCAAGUUCAAAAGGUAUGGCAUCUGUACAUCAUCAGCUUCUUUGGGCGCACAUGUGUGGAGGGAUCCUGCAUGCAUGCUCAUAAAUCAUGCAGAGGAAGAGGAGAAGCUUGUAAUGAAGUGUCUGCGGCUCAUCCAACUCUCACAGGU